AUUCGUUUCCUUAUUUACUGAACAUUCUAUAUAUAUAUAUAAUUAACACAGUGCCAUACAACAAUACUAACAGGAGGGCGGACUGCACACAAACGCUUUUGCAAUUCACGGCCAAUGUGCCAUAAUAAGAUAUCCCUAUCGAUAGUUGACCUUUUACCAUCAUCGCGAUCACUACUUUUGUCUGAUAAUUAACUUCACUUUUCUACCUCGUAUAUUGUGUGUAUGUGUCGCCGUCAGCUCCCUGUUGGAUUAUAUCAUCUUUAGGUGUCCAGCAGUUUUCCAGGCUAACAAGAUCAUUUUGCAACAUCCUUGGUAUAUCAUAACUUUGAGUUUCUGCCUUACAAUACAUAUUAGCAGCACUAGUUAUAUCUCCUUGAAUUUCUAAAUGACGUCCAACAUGGUACAGAUCAUAACGAUGACAAGUCUUCAACAAUUCUUCAGCUUCAUCCUUACAAAAUAUAUUACAUUUCUUACUCAGAUAUAAUUUACAAGUAAGUAGAAAUAUACACACUUACAUUCAUUCCUAAAUGCAUUGCUAGAGCAGCCACUUUAGUUUCAAGUUCUUUUUCUGAUGACAUUGAUCGUAUAAUAGCAAUACCUCUACAAUCUUUCAUAUGACCUAGACAUAUUUCAGCAACAUCUAUGCGCUUAGUUUUCACACACAUUUUAGCAAGACUUGUCCAUAUUUCAGCACUAA
Daktulosphaira vitifoliae (grape phylloxera) is the source of this 697-nucleotide long non-coding RNA. RefSeq lists it as uncharacterized. The transcript has 3 exons. Lineage: Eukaryota; Metazoa; Arthropoda; Insecta; Hemiptera; Phylloxeridae. The record is from RefSeq and is a predicted model, not a curated record.